RNAcentral lists this unclassified non-coding RNA (45 nucleotides) under Trypanosoma brucei. Lineage: Eukaryota; Euglenozoa; Kinetoplastea; Trypanosomatida; Trypanosomatidae. The record is from RNAcentral.
UAUCAACAACGACAAGAGAUCAGUGAAAUUAGAAGUAAAGUUAUC